RNAcentral lists this transfer RNA (77 nucleotides) under [Eubacterium] minutum. Its description in RNAcentral is "tRNA-Arg(acg)". It matches the Rfam family "tRNA". From Rfam's summary of the family: Transfer RNA (tRNA) molecules are approximately 80 nucleotides in length. The record is from RNAcentral. RNAcentral also lists the same sequence under 2 other names. Lineage: Bacteria; Bacillati; Bacillota; Clostridia; Peptostreptococcales; Anaerovoracaceae.
GCGCCACUAGCUCAAUUGGAUAGAGUACCUGACUACGAAUCAGUAGGUUGAGGGUUCGAGUCCCCCGUGGCGCACCA